This 440-nucleotide ribosomal RNA is filed under the name uncultured bacterium. RNAcentral describes it as "partial 16S ribosomal RNA". It matches the Rfam family "Bacterial small subunit ribosomal RNA", at positions 338 to 795 of the family's 1533-position model. The record is from RNAcentral.
CCUACGGGAGGCUGUAGUGGGGAAUAUUGCACAAUGGGGGGAACCCUGAUGCAGCGACGCCGCGUGAGUGAAGAAGUCUUUACGUGUGGAAAGCCCUAUCAGCAGGGAAGCAAGUGACGGUACCUGAUUAAGCCCCCCCAGCUCACGACGUGCCAGCAGCCGCGGUAAUACGUAGGGGGCAAGCGUUAACCGGGUUUAAUGGGUGUAAAGGGGGCGUAGACGGCAGCACAAGUCUGGCGUGAAGUGCCCGGGCUUAACCCCGGAACUGCCGUGGAAACUGUGGAGCUAGAGUGCAGGAGAGGUAAGUGGAAUGCCUAGUGUAGCGGUGAAAUGCGUAGAUAUUAGGAGGAACACCAGUUGCGAAGGCGGCUUACCGGACUGCAACUGACGCUGAGGCACGAAAGCGUGGGGAGCGAACAGGAUUAGAUACCCGUGUAGUC